RNAcentral lists this transfer RNA (86 nucleotides) under Bolitoglossa hartwegi. RNAcentral describes it as "tRNA-Leu". The stretch from base 12 to 86 matches the Rfam family "tRNA". Rfam says of the family: Transfer RNA (tRNA) molecules are approximately 80 nucleotides in length. Lineage: Eukaryota; Metazoa; Chordata; Amphibia; Caudata; Plethodontidae. The record is from RNAcentral.
UCUAACUGAUUUUUGGGGUGGCAGAGCAUGGUAAUUGCAAAAGGCCUAAGCCCUUGCCACCGAGGGUUCAAAUCCCUCCCCCAAUU